CGGGAGGCAGCAGUGGGGAAUCUUACACAAUGGGGGCAACCCUGUAUCUAGCCAUGCCGCGUGAGUGAUGAAGGCCUUAGGGUCGUAAAGCUCUUUCGCCUGUGAUGAUAAUGACUGUACCAGGUAAAGAAACCCCGGCUAACUCCGUGCCAGCAGCCGCGGUAAUACGGAGGGGGUUAGCGUUGUUCGGAAUUACUGGGCGUAAAGCGCGCGUAGGCGGAUUAGAAAGUUGGGUGUGAAAUCCCGGGGCUCAACCCCGGAACUGCCUCCAAAACUGCUAGUCUAGAGUUCGAGAGAGGUGAGUGGAAUUCCGAGUGUAGAGGUGAAAUUCGUAGAUAUUCGGAGGAACACCAGUGGCGAAGGCGGCUCACUGGCUCGAUACUGACGCUGAGGUGCGAAAGUGUGGGGAGCAAACAGGAUUAGAUACCCUGGUAGUCCACAC
This 442-nucleotide ribosomal RNA is filed under the name uncultured bacterium. RNAcentral describes it as "bacterial SSU rRNA". It matches the Rfam family "Bacterial small subunit ribosomal RNA", at positions 342 to 800 of the family's 1533-position model. The record is from RNAcentral.